Long non-coding RNA from Loxodonta africana (African savanna elephant), 598 nucleotides. RefSeq lists it as uncharacterized. The record is from RefSeq and is a predicted model, not a curated record. NCBI's taxonomy places the organism in Eukaryota, Metazoa, Chordata, Mammalia, Proboscidea, Elephantidae. The transcript is spliced from 3 exons.
GCAGGAGUCCCUGCCGGGCCGUCCCCGCUCCGCUGGUUUCCUACCGUAGCCGAAGCGUUUGUUGGGUGCCGUCCUUCUCCUUCCUCAGACUACCUGCAAUUUCGCACAAUGAAAAAAAGAUCACAGCCAUUGAAAACCCUGUGGAACGCAGUUCUAUUCUGAAGCUUGAAGGAUCACCAUGAGUCAGAGUGGACUCAACAAACAGGGGGCAAAACAAUGGGCGAUAUCAUCAAGACCCGAGAUAAUUGAACAAAAUCCGGAGCCAUCUUGUGACUGAAACCAGGAUGGCGUCAAGACACCUGCAAGACAUCAACAAGAGGUCACUUUGUCAUUAUGUUCACCUCAAAGAAGAAUCAACAUUCCUGGAAAUCUCUAAACCCUGACCUUCUCCCAAUAAAACUCUCCAGUUAGCUCUUUUGGGGCAGAAAGAAUUUGGGAGAAAUUUAAACCCCUCUGUCUCUUGGACACCAGUGUUCAAUAAAGCCCUCUUGCAGCUUACCUCCUCCUGUUUCAAUAUUGGCUUUGCGGCAGGCAGCUGGCAUCUACAGUUUGCGGUAACAAUGGUGGAGGGGCCAGCCCCAGAGGCCUGGUUGGGGAU